CACGCAGUAGCUCAACGGAAAGAGCCCACCAAUCGAAGGUGGAGAUGGAGGUUCGAGUCCUUCCUGCGUUC
This 71-nucleotide transfer RNA is filed under the name Opitutaceae bacterium. RNAcentral describes it as "tRNA-Arg". It matches the Rfam family "tRNA". From Rfam's summary of the family: Transfer RNA (tRNA) molecules are approximately 80 nucleotides in length. Their secondary structure includes four short double-helical elements and three loops (D, anti-codon, and T loops). Lineage: Bacteria; Pseudomonadati; Verrucomicrobiota; Opitutia; Opitutales; Opitutaceae. The record is from RNAcentral.